CCCAUAUAUUACUUAAUUAAAACAUUUUUAUACUUUUAGUAUUGGUGACAGAACAAUUAAUCAGCGCAAUA
This 71-nucleotide transfer RNA is filed under the name Etmopterus brachyurus (shorttail lanternshark). RNAcentral's name for it is "tRNA-Val". Lineage: Eukaryota; Metazoa; Chordata; Chondrichthyes; Squaliformes; Etmopteridae. The record is from RNAcentral.